UACGUAGGGUGCGAGCGUUAAUCGGAAUUACUGGGCGUAAAGCGUGCGCAGGCGGCUUUGCAAGACAGAUGUGAAAUCCCCGGGCUUAACCUGGGAACUGCAUUUGUGACUGCAUGGCUGGAGUGCGGCAGAGGGGGAUGGAAUUCCUGGUGUAGCAGUGAAAUGCGUAGAUAUCAGGAGGAAUACCGAUGGCGAAGGCAGGUCUCUGGGCUGACACUGACGCUCAUGCACGAAAGCGUGGGGAGCAAACAGG
This 253-nucleotide ribosomal RNA is filed under the name uncultured bacterium. Its description in RNAcentral is "partial 16S ribosomal RNA". It matches the Rfam family "Bacterial small subunit ribosomal RNA", at positions 524 to 776 of the family's 1533-position model. The record is from RNAcentral.